Molecule: unclassified non-coding RNA, 5604 nt
Filed under: Anthonomus grandis grandis
Lineage: Eukaryota; Metazoa; Arthropoda; Insecta; Coleoptera; Curculionidae
Description: transcription elongation factor SPT6
Source: RNAcentral
CCAACUUCACGUCACUUCGGUCUCUUGUUGCCAUCCCGAGAAAAAUAACUACUCUAUUUUAAAUAUUGGCAAAAAAUCCUAACUGAAAGUGAAAAACGUUAAAGUGCCUCGAAACACCAUUUUCUUCACGUUCUUGGUCAACAGUUUCACCCAAAAAAAAUUUAAGAAACCGCCAGGAUGGCCGAUUUUAUCGAAUCAGAAGCGGAGGAGAGUAGUGAGGAGGAAGAGUUGGAGCCCCAUGAACGGAAAAAGCUAAAAAAAGUCAAAGCCAUGGACGACAGUUCAGAGGAGGAGGAAGAUGACGAAGACAGACUGAGGGAAGAACUUAAGGACUUGAUAGAUGACAAUCCAAUAGAAGACGAAAGUGACGGUGACUCAGAUGCAUCGGGCAGAGAAAAAAGAAAAAAAUCUGACGAUGAAGAUCUCGAUGACCGGCUCGAGGAUGAAGACUAUGAUUUGCUCGAAGAGAAUUUGGGCGUUAAAGUGGAAAGAAGGAAAUUCAAGCGAUUGAAAAGGAUCCAAGAGGAAGAGAGCGAGGGAGAAGACGAACACGAUGCCGAGCAAGAGAGGGAACAGAUCGCCAAUGAUCUUUUUUCAGAAGACGACGACGAACGUCACUCGGAGAGGUCCCAUAGGCCGGCCCCGGAACCCGAACAUUUUGGCGAGGAGGAAGAGGAGGGCGAUUAUUCCGAUGCGGACGACUUUAUCGUGGACGAUGACGGGAAACCGAUCGCCAAAAAGAAGAAGAGGCCGAUAUUCACGGAUGCGGCCCUGCAGGAGGCUCAGGAGACUUUUGGGGUCGAUUUUGACUAUGACGAGUUCUCCAAAUAUGACGAUGAAUAUGAUGAGGACGAGGAGGAUGAAGAAGAUGAAUAUGAGGAGGAUGAAGAGGGUGAGAGGAGACGUCGUCAAAAGAAGGCCGCAAAGAAGAGGCCCACCAAAAAAUCCAUUUUUGAAAUUUACGAACCUUCCGAGCUUAAAAGGGGCUUUUUUACUGACUUGGACAACGAAAUUCGAAGUACAGACGUGCCGGAGAGGAUGCAAUUACGCGACGUACCGUUAACUUCGGUACCGGACGAUUCCACCGAGUUGGACGACGAAGCGGAGUGGAUCUAUAAACAGGCGUUUUGCAAAAACACCGUGUCAAACAUGGAUGCCAAUCUUACACAGGAAGCCCGAGAAAAGCAGCGUAAAGGCCCACAAACGAUCGGCAAAAUCCGUAAAGCGUUGGACUUUAUGCGCAAUCAACAGUUGGAGGUUCCUUUCAUAGCGUUUUAUAGGAAAGAAUAUGUACAGCCCGAACUGAACAUCAACGAUCUUUGGAAGGUUUAUAAGUACGACGCCAAAUGGUGCCAAUUGAAGUCGAGAAAGGAGAAUUUACUGAACUUAUUCGAGAAAAUGAGAUCUUAUCAGAUGGAUCAGGUUAUGAAGGAUCCCGAUGCUCCUCUGCCUGAUAAUGUUAGGAUAAUGAAGGACAGUGACAUAGACCGACUGAAAAACGUCCAAACCGCCGAGGAACUGAACGACGUGCAUAACCAUUUUAUUCUAUACUACGCGCACGAUUUACCCGCGAUGCACGCGGCCUGGAGAAUCAAGGAGAAAGAAAGGAAAAAGCAACUGAAACGCGAGGCCCGCUUAAAAGCGUUAGCAGAAGCCGAAGAGGGGGCCGAAGUACCCGAAGAAACCCCCGAGGACGAGGAGGAAGACGACAUGGAGCCCGAUACGAUCAAAUACGCCAACAGGUCGGGGUCGUACUCGCUGUGCAGCAGGGCGGGACUUGAUUCCCUAGCCAAGCGUUUCGGUUUAACUCCGGAACGUUUCGCGGAAAACUUACGGGACAACUAUCAGAAACACGAAGUGGACCAGGAACUGACCGAACCGGUUGAGGUGGCCAAACAAUACGUUUGCCCCAAGUUUUCUACUGCGGAUGAAGUUUUACAGGCAGCCAAGUACAUGGUGGCCCUCCAAAUAGCCCGAGAACCGUUAAUCCGUAAGUGCGUGAGGGAAGUGUACUACGAACGCGCCCGCCUCAGUGUAACCCCGACGAAAAAGGGCCAAAAGGUGAUCGACGAGGCGCACAACUGUUACUCGAUGAAAUAUUUGAAAAACAAACCGGUCAGGGACCUCACUGGGGAUCAAUUCUUGAAGUUGACCUUAGCCGAGGAGGAGCAGCUGAUUAAACUGAAAUUCAGCGACAAUAUCGACGGGCACACCUCGAACUCGUACAUAGACGAGGUGAAACAACUUUACAUCCGGGACGAGUUCAGUAAAAACGUGCAAGAAUGGAACAAAUUGAGGGCGGAAUGCGUCGAGAGGGCGUUAACCCGUUGCGUUAUCCCCGAUUUACAGGCGGAAAUCAAGAGGGUUUUACUGGCCGAGGCCAAGGAGUUCGUUUUGCGGGCCUGCUGCCGGAAAUUGUAUAAUUGGAUCAAGAUCGCGCCCUAUCAGGUGGAGAUCGCCGAGGAGGACGAGGAGGAGUGGGACGCCAGCAAGGGUAUCAGAGUCAUGGGUCUGGCCUACGUCCCCGACUAUUCCCAGUCCGCCUUUUGCUGUAUAGCGGCCGCAGACGGCGACGUGACCGACUAUCUCCGUCUCCCUCACAUCUUAAAACGGAAAAACAGCUGGCGCCAAGAAGAGAAAAUGCUAAAAGAGGCGGACCUGACCGCCCUGAGGAACUUCAUUUACACGAAACGGCCGCACGUGAUCGCCAUCGGGGGCGAAUCCCGGGAGGCCCUGAUGAUCGCCGACGACCUGCGCGGCAUCGUCAACGAACUGGUCGAGUCCGAACAGUUUCCCGCCAUAAAAGUCGAAAUUAUCGAUAAUCAACUGGCGAAGAUUUACGCGAACUCGAAUAAAGGCGUGGCGGAUUUCCGGGAUUAUCCGGAACUUUUAAGGCAGGCCAUUUCAUUGGCGAGAAAGAUGCAAGAUCCCCUAAUCGAGUACUCGCAGUUGUGCAACGGAGACGAGGAGAUAUUGAGUCUGCGAUACCAUCCGUUGCAAGAGCAGAUAAGCAAGGAGGAACUGCUGGAAGCCCUUUGUUUGGAGUUCGUGAAUCGAACCAACGAGGUGGGCGUCGACGUCAAUUUGGCGGUACAACAGGCGCACAAAAGUCACUUGAUUCAAUUCAUAUGCGGCCUGGGGCCCCGGAAGGGACAGGCGCUCCUCAAGGUACUCAAGCAGACCAAUCAGCGUUUGGAAAAUCGGACGCAAUUGGUCACGUCGUGCCAUAUGGGCCCCAAAGUAUUUAUCAACUGUUCCGGGUUUAUUAAGAUCGACACGAACAGUUUGGGCGACAGCACGGAGGCUUAUGUGGAAAUCUUGGACGGGUCCAGGGUGCAUCCGGAAACGUACGAGUGGGCGCGGAAAAUGGCGGUGGACGCCCUGGAGUACGAGGACGAGGGCGCGAAUCCCGCGGGUGCCCUCGAGGAAAUCCUGGACGCCCCCGAGAGGCUGAAAGAUCUUGAUUUGGACGCUUUUGCCGUCGAAUUAGAGAGGCAACAUUUCGGUAACAAAAGUAUAACCCUAUACGACAUCCGUGCGGAACUAAACUGCCGCUACAAAGACUUAAGGGUACCGUACAAAUCGGCUAAUCCGGAGGAACUGUUCGAUAUGCUCACGAAAGAAUCCCCGGAAACGUUUUACAUCGGGAAACUGGUGCAGGCGACGGUGAUCGGUAUCGCCCGAAGGAAACCGCAGGGGGAACAACUGGACUCGGCCAAUCCGGUGCGUAACGACGAAACCGGCCUGUGGCAGUGUCCGUUCUGUCUGAAAAACGAUUUUCCCGAAUUGUCCGACGUGUGGAACCACUUUGACGCGGGCGCGUGUCCCGGACAAGCGACCGGGGUCAAACUGCGACUGGACAACGGAAUUUCCGGGUACAUUUACAUUAAGAAUUUGAGCGAUAAACCGGUGUCCAAUCCCGAGGAAAGAGUGGGUAUCGGACAGCUGAUACAUUGUCGGAUAAUGAAGAUCGACGUCGAGAGGUUUUCGGUCGAUUGUACGUCAAAGUCGAGCGAUUUGGUUGAUAAGAAGGGCGAGUGGAGGCCACCGAGGGAUCCGUAUUACGAUCGGGAGCAAGAGGAUAAGGAUACAAGAGCCGAAGCGGAAAAAAAGAAAGACAAACAGCGACAAACGUACAUAAAACGCGUCAUCGUUCAUCCGGCCUUCCAUAAUAUUUCUUAUGCGGAAGCGGAGAAACUGAUGGCCAACAUGGACCAAGGAGAAGUAAUAAUAAGACCCUCCAGUAAAGGGGUGGACCAUCUGACCAUCACUUGGAAAGUAGCGGACAACAUCUUCCAGCACAUCGACAUCCGGGAAGAAGGUAAAACCAACGCGUUCUCUUUGGGGAAAUCUUUGUGGAUUGGCAACGAGGAAUUCGAGGAUCUGGAUGAAAUUAUCGCGAGGCACGUUAAUCCUAUGGCCUCGUACGCCAGGGAUUUGUUAUAUUUCCGAUACUACAAAGAUACCGGCGGAGGCCUCAAAGACAAAGCCGAGGAAUUCAUCAAAGAGGAAAAAAAGAAAAACCCCUCCAAGAUCCACUAUAUCGUGAGCGCGGCCAAGUCGCUGCCCGGCAAGUUCCUUCUCUCUUAUUUGCCGCGGAACAAAGUGAGACACGAGUACAUCACCGUCACCCCGGAAGGGUUUCGGUUUAGGCAGCAGAUGUUCGACUCGGUUACGUCGGUGUUCAAGUGGUUCAAGGAACAUUUUAGGGACCCGAUACCGGGCGGUACCCCCAGUACGCCCAGGAUGGGCGGCACUACUAGAGGAACACCUUAUCAAGGCACGGCAAAUACGCCGUUUAACAGCAUGAACCCCGAAACGAUCCAAAGGGUGGCCCAAAACCUGCCCAGUCACAUGUUACAAAGUCUCUCCGCGGUGGCGAAUCAAACGCCUCACUACCCUCACACCCCCGGCGGCGGUUACGGUGGGAAUUACAUCAACACCCCGUAUACGCCCAGCGGCCAGACGCCUUUUAUGACCCCCUAUCAGACUCCGCAUUCUCAACAAACUCCCAGGUAUGGACAAUCGACUCCGUCUCCUUUACCGAUGCUACCUCCCAGAUCGACGCCGGUACCUUACUCCAGGGGCGGCGGCGGGCCGCCCAACUACCCGCCCAAUAAUACGGAACAGACCGAUUGGGAAAAGGCGGCGGCCGCAUGGGCGGCCAGAAGUAGCAGAAGCUCGUCAAAUACUCCGAGAAGCGACAUGGGCCGUAAUACGCCCCGCGGUUCAAUCGGGGGGCAACGGACGCCCCGCUUCGACGACGUCCACGCGGACCUGGAGCGCACCAAAAUGAAAAACGUCGGCAAGAGUCCGAGAUCGAUGCGAUCGACCCCGCGCACCAACAUGUCGCCCCACAGCAUGUCCUUGGGCAACGCCACGCCCCUCUACGACGAAAAUAUUUAAGAAAUCGCUGUGUUUUUGGCCUUGUAAAUAUAUGCGGAAAGAGGAGGGAGUACACACGUUUUCGCCAAAUUAUUUAUUAUAAUUUUAUAUAUACUUUAUUGGUUGGUUUUUUCAUCUGAUGCUGCUCCCAAGACUAGAUAGGUAUUGCACUAUUAGUUUUAUGUUUAUAAAUAAAGUUAAUCUUUUUUUAAGGAUAAA